AUUCUGCCCAUGCGGGGAAGGAUGAGAAGCUUCGACUAAGGUUCGGCUCGAGCGUCAGCGAGAGAGCGUUGCCGCAGGCAACGACCCGAAGGGCGAGGCGCGCAGCGCUGAGUAAUCCUUCCCCCACCACCA
This 132-nucleotide small RNA is filed under the name Escherichia coli. RNAcentral describes it as "RtT sRNA". It matches the Rfam family "RtT RNA". From Rfam's summary of the family: This family represents a bacterial cis-regulatory element known as RtT RNA. The exact function of RtT is unknown although it is thought that it may be involved in changing the cellular response in relation to amino acid starvation. Lineage: Bacteria; Pseudomonadati; Pseudomonadota; Gammaproteobacteria; Enterobacterales; Enterobacteriaceae. The record is from RNAcentral.